RNAcentral lists this ribosomal RNA (254 nucleotides) under uncultured bacterium. RNAcentral's name for it is "partial 16S ribosomal RNA". It matches the Rfam family "Bacterial small subunit ribosomal RNA", at positions 524 to 777 of the family's 1533-position model. The record is from RNAcentral.
UACGUAGGUGGCAAGCGUUGUCCGGAUUUACUGGGCGUAAAGAGCGCGCAGGCGGUCGGAUAAGUCGAAUGUGAAAGCCCCCGGCUCAACUGGGGAGGGUCAUUCGAUACUGUUCGACUCGAAGGCAGGAGAGGGAAGUGGAAUUCCCGGUGUAGUGGUGAAAUGCGUAGAUAUCGGGAGGAACACCAGUGGCGAAGGCGACUUCCUGGCCUGUUCUUGACGCUGAGGCGCGAAAGCUAGGGGAGCAAACGGGG